Molecule: transfer RNA, 73 nt
Filed under: Stegodyphus mimosarum
Lineage: Eukaryota; Metazoa; Arthropoda; Arachnida; Araneae; Eresidae
Rfam family: tRNA
About the family: Transfer RNA (tRNA) molecules are approximately 80 nucleotides in length.
Source: Rfam by way of RNAcentral
GGCUUUGUGGUGUAGUAGUCAGCACACUCGAUGCGUAACUGAGAGGUUCGAGGUUUGAUUCCUGGCAAAGGCG